CCACUUAAUACUCAAUGCUUAAUUUUAAAUUAGUUAUUUCUUAUUGUUAUUUAUUUAUUUAUUUAUUUAAUGUCAUGUAUAUUGUAUUUUCACAAAUUAAUUAUUUAUUAUAUGUUUGAAUUGUUAUUACUUUAUCAUUAUUUUAUUACUUAUUAUUUAUUUUUAUCAAGUAAUUUUAUCAAGUAAUUUUUUUUGUAUAAUCAAGCUCUUUAUUUAUUAAGGAUUUCGGAAUCUUGAAAUCGAGGCCCUCCCAUCGUACUGGUGGAGCCUUGAUUCGGAUUCCGAGCCUAGGGAACAUAAACUCGGGAUUGCGACUUCUCGCAUCUCGAUCGAUUAUCCC
RNAcentral lists this long non-coding RNA (340 nucleotides) under Theobroma cacao (cacao). Its description in RNAcentral is "long non-coding RNA (TCAC_LNC006496)". The record is from RNAcentral. Lineage: Eukaryota; Viridiplantae; Streptophyta; Magnoliopsida; Malvales; Malvaceae.